UACGUAGGGUGCAAGCGUUAAUCGGAAUUACUGGGCGUAAAGCGUGCGCAGGCGGUGAUGUAAGACAGGUGUGAAAUCCCCGGGCUUAACCUGGGAACUGCAUUUGUGACUGCAUCGCUGGAGUGCGGCAGAGGGGGAUGGAAUUCCGCGUGUAGCAGUGAAAUGCGUAGAUAUGCGGAGGAACACCGAUGGCGAAGGCAAUCCCCUGGGCCUGCACUGACGCUCAGUGCACGAAAGCGUGGGGAGCAAACAGG
Molecule: ribosomal RNA, 254 nt
Filed under: uncultured bacterium
Lineage: Bacteria
Description: partial 16S ribosomal RNA
Rfam family: Bacterial small subunit ribosomal RNA
Source: RNAcentral